This 67-nucleotide ribosomal RNA is filed under the name uncultured bacterium. RNAcentral's name for it is "partial 16S ribosomal RNA". The record is from RNAcentral.
UGAGCAACCUGCCCUUGGCUUGGACUAACCGACGGGAACGGGGCUACGGUAACCGAAUCGUUCACUG